CGGCGCUGGAGGUGCUUCUGGCUUCAGCCGCUGAGACGGAAGUUUGGAGUUACGCUUGGUUCAGCAAAGGCAGCAGCUGUCAGACUGUGUGUUCUAUACUGGACAUCUUUGAAAUAAUAGAUGCCCCUUCUUGACUGAGGAGAUGAUAUAAAGAUUACAGAUUCCUACUAUAAUGAAUCUACUACAAUGACAAGAGGAGUUUUCAUGAGAGUGAAGACCACUAAAAGGUUUGUCAUGCUCCAACGGAUCAGCACUCCAGAAGACAUAGCUUCAACAAUCUCCUGUAUUUAUCCUCAAAGAGCAUACUUUAUCAGCCAUGGCAGAGGCAGUUCUGUUGUAUCUCAGAGUCUGAAUUUAUAGGUAUUAAUGAUAUUAUGGUAAGGUAUAAUUCAAAGAACCUUAAAUUUGGAGUUAGGAGGCUUGAGUUCUGUGUCUAGCUCUGAUAUUAAUAGAAGUAAGCAAACUUCUACAGGUAUUUUAAUAUCUUUUGGUCUCAGAUUCUUCCUUUCUAAAAUGAAACAAAUCUAAGAUUUACUGAAGUUCUAACAUUCUAUAAACAAAAAUCUAUGAUUAAUACCAUUAUUUCAUAAAACUGUUGAAACAAUUAUCCUCCAUAAUUGAAGAAUAUUGUCUGAGGAGUUUAUUUUAAAAAAUUAAAUAGCAACUCCAAAAUGAAUAUCCAGUAUCAAAAAUUUACUAAACUCAACAUAUACCAGUUAAAAUCUGUUCUCUCUAAAAUCCCUCUCCCAUAAAUUUCUCCUUCUCUCUUAACACCCUCUCCCUCCAUUGUCAGGAAAUUCAGGGAUGGUACAGCUCAAUCACAGCCAAGAUACAUCAUAAGAAUUUAUCAAGCCAUUGUGGAAAUACUCCAGGAAUAUAGUUGUUUUUUCUUCAUUUUUGAGAUGCUUCUUUUUACAAAAAGGGUACCCUGAUAUCCUUGCUUUGAGACUCGAGUUUGACUUGCAUUUAAAAGUACACAUGCUUUUUUACUUUCUUCUCAGCUCCUGACAUGAUCUUAGGCACUCAGUUUCCAUAAAAACUAAAGUGUCAUGAAAGACUUAUGGUUUGAUUUUAAAUGGAAUGUACCAUCCUUUUUGAAGUCCGACAUCAUUUUGUUUACUACUUAACCACAGAAACAUUGUGAAGCCUUAACCAGCCUAUUAUCAGAGCCUGUUCACUAUCAGAAAAACUCUUUGUAACUGGCUUCCGUCACACCUUGUAUCUGAUUAACACACUAUAGGAUAACAUAGAGCUACAUAGAUCUGCUUUGUGUUCUAACAUAACUGAUGGAAAACAGAUUUUCCUUUCUCCUUUAAUGUGACAGCCCCUAAUUGAGAAUGUAAUAUGGUUUAUUUAAUACACUUCUUCAUACUAAAUUAAAGCAGAUCCAGAGUAAUUUAGUUGCUCAUUAAGGUUAAGGUAAUAGCUGCUAAAAAGAUGCCUUUUUAUGUCUUAGAGAACAUUUAUUCUGAUGAUAGGUACAGGAUAAGUAGAUAUAGAUAUGUACACAUAAUUAAACACACAUAACGGAGUUGUUGACUUUUAUGGGAUAGUACUAUUUCUCAACAGUACUAUCCCAAGUUUUGUUCUGUAGUCAUGACUAUGACAUUUUCUAACCAGAUCUCAAAUAUAAUCAUCUCUUUAACCCCUGUUUAAAGUGCUGAGGAAGCUCAUCUGUGCAAUAUCAUUUCAAAUAUCAUGUCCAAUAGGGCCACAAAGUUAGAACUAAGUGAAAUUUAUUUAAGAAAUCAUGAUUUUUAUCUUUCGUACUAUGCUUGAGUUCUUUUGAAUCCAACUAUUGUCAAUUUAAAAAAAAGCAACAUGCACAGAACUAGCAAGGAAUACAUAUACAUUCACAUACAUAUGAUCACAUUCAUAUCAUAUAUAUAUAGUCUAUAUUUUAACAAGCUAGAAGAAUAUCCUAAAUUUCUGCCUUUCAGGUUUAUAUAUCAAAAGGAACUCCAGAAGAUGGCUAACCAAAUUCAUCUCACUAAACCCAAUUUGAUUGUAUACAAUUGAGAAAAAUCUAACUUAGAAGUCUGAGCAAUGAAAAUUGGUACAAAGACUAUAAAACAAGCAAGAACCAACACCACCUGCUCUGGAAAGAACACCUAAGUAGUUUUCUGUCAACAACUCAUUUGUCUCUGCUCUGUACCUGUGUCCAACCUGUAAGCCAAUUAAAACUGACUGCCAUCUAUCCAUUUUACCCAAUCCCCACCCAUUUCCUGCUUUUGAGAGCCUGUCCUGAAAAAAUCUGAGUUCUAAUGUUAACCCUAAUCUAAUCUUAUGAAAGUUUCUCUAUAACUUCCCUUUCCAAGAUGUUAUAACACGUCUUUUUUUUUUUCUUAAUAAGACAUCUUUUUAAAGUGCUUUCCCUUGCAGGCAAUAUUAAUGCACUUCUGUAGGACAUAGGCUUGCCUGGUAAUUUUUGUGGGGACUAUACCAGCUGAUGUCUUAGAGGUUAUAGUGAACUUACUUUGGUUUAUCUCUUUUCAAAAUACCAGUCUUAUUAAAUAUAAUUUUGACUAUCCAGGAAUAAAGAUAGCACCUUGUUUUCUAAGUUUAAAAUAUUAAACCUAGGUAAUAAUUCCAAGUUACUAAAAUAUACACAAUCUUCCCAUGAUCACAAUUAGACUUAAUUAAAAAAAAAAAAAGGCCACCAUUCACAAUCUCAGUGACACAAACCUGUGUUAGUAUCAAAUCACAUGGGCCUGUGGCUGGUUAGAAAGAUGACAGACAUCACUCUUUUACCAGGGAACCUAGAUACAUCCCUUUUCCCAUAAAUACCUUAUAGACACAAUGUGCCAUUAGUAUAUAACAUCUAUUGAUAGGGCCAUAUAAUAGUACUGUUCCUGGAAGGUAAGUUGAUGUCUAGAUGACAGUAUCCUGGUGUUCUCUAGAGUUUAGAAUGUAAACUUUUGUAUUCUAGGGACUUUGUGUUUUGUUAUUCCCAGUGUCUUACUGUUUUGACACAGUAUAUCUUUAAUAAACAUGUACUAAAUGUUUUACAACUAAGAAAGCUCAGGGGAGGAAUUUAUUUACCAACUGGGGAAGAAUUUAUGAGGUUAUCAAAUAUUUCAUACAAAGCUGAAGAAGUACUGAGGAUAAAAAUCUAAUUGGGUUUUUAGAAGCUCUCUAUGAUUAAAGGAUUCUGUUCUUCCCUUCA
Molecule: long non-coding RNA, 3166 nt
Organism: Nyctereutes procyonoides (raccoon dog)
Lineage: Eukaryota; Metazoa; Chordata; Mammalia; Carnivora; Canidae
Exons: 4
Source: RefSeq, a predicted model, not a curated record